Non-coding RNA from Clarias gariepinus (North African catfish), 506 nucleotides. The record is from the annotation of a RefSeq genome assembly. Lineage: Eukaryota; Metazoa; Chordata; Actinopteri; Siluriformes; Clariidae.
GAAAACUGGAGAACCUGGACAUAACCCCCAGACGUUAGAGAAUGGACAAUUACCAGAGCUCAGGAUCGAAGGAGGAACUCAUAACACUGAUCAUCAAUUAUAUACCAGUAAACUGGGGACAGGAUCAUGAUCACCCAAGACUGAAUUAUGCCUGCGAGGACCAAAGACCCAGCCGCAUGGCCCAAUCCCAAGGUCUCACAAACGGGACAGUUGUGCAGCAAACGCCUCAUGACCUCAUUAAGAAUCAAGGAGAAUCUGCUGUGAUUAGAUGCUCUCAUAAAAUCGAGAAAUAUGAUCGUAUCAUGUGGUACAAAGAAACCAAGAACAAGGAUUUCAUCUUCAUGGGAUAUCUGAUAUCCAAAAAUGCAAAUCCCGAGACAGAAUUUAAAGACAAAGUCACCAUCAGCGGGGACGCAUUCGAUGGUUAUGGGUCUCUGGAAGUUUUAAGGCUUUCACUAAAGAGUGAAGGAGUUUAUUUUUGUGCAGCAUACUACACAGCAGUGUGA